This 448-nucleotide ribosomal RNA is filed under the name uncultured Anaerolineaceae bacterium. Its description in RNAcentral is "bacterial SSU rRNA". It matches the Rfam family "Bacterial small subunit ribosomal RNA", at positions 920 to 1378 of the family's 1533-position model. The record is from RNAcentral. Lineage: Bacteria; Bacillati; Chloroflexota; Anaerolineae; Anaerolineales; Anaerolineaceae.
CCCCGCACAAGCAGCGGAGCGUGUGGUUUAAUUCGAUGCUACACGAAGAACCUUACCAGGGUUUGACAUGCAAGUGGUAGGAAACCGAAAGGCGACCGACCCUUCGGGAGCUUGCACAGGUGCUGCAUGGCUGUCGUCAGCUCGUGUCGUGAGAUGUUCGGUUAAGUCCGCUAACGAGCGCAACCCUCGCUGUGUGUUACAAGUGUCACACGGUACUGCCGGUCUUAAGCCGGAGGAAGGUGGGAUGACGUCAAAUCAGCACGGCCCUUAUGUCCAGGGCUACACACGUGUUACAAUGGUCGGUACAGAGGGCAGCUACCUGGUGACAGGAUGCUAAUCUCGAAAACCGGUCUCAGUUCGGAUCGAAGUCUGCAACUCGACUUCGUGAAGCUGGAUUCGCUAGUAAUCGCGCAUCAGCUAUGGCGCGGUGAAUACGUUCCCGGGCCUU